UGAUAGCGAUAGGCCUGUAGUUGGAC
Molecule: small RNA, 26 nt
Filed under: Bombyx mori (domestic silkworm)
Lineage: Eukaryota; Metazoa; Arthropoda; Insecta; Lepidoptera; Bombycidae
Description: ovarian small RNA-8278
Source: RNAcentral